This 425-nucleotide ribosomal RNA is filed under the name uncultured bacterium. RNAcentral's name for it is "partial 16S ribosomal RNA". It matches the Rfam family "Bacterial small subunit ribosomal RNA", at positions 354 to 796 of the family's 1533-position model. The record is from RNAcentral.
GUGGGGAAUAUUGGACAAUGGGCGAAAGCCUGAUCCAGCAAUGCCGCGUGAGUGAUGAUGGCCCUAGGGUUGUAAAGCUCUUUUACCCGGGAUGAUAAUGACAGUACCGGGAGAAUAAGCUCCGGCUAACUCCGUGCCAGCAGCCGCGGUAAUACGGAGGGAGCUAGCGUUGUUCGGAAUUACUGGGCGUAAAGCGCGCGUAGGCGGUUUUCCAAGUCAGGGGUGAAAGCCCGGGGCGCAACCCCGGAAUAGCCCUUGAAACUGGAAGACUAGAAUCUUGGAGAGGUCAGUGGAAUUCCGAGUGUAGAGGUGAAAUUCGUAGAUAUUCGGAAGAACACCAGUGGCGAAGGCGACUGACUGGACAAGUAUUGACGCUGAGGUGCGAAAGCGUGGGGAGCAAACAGGAUUAGAAACCCGAGUAGUCC